AUUAUCUCAAGAUAAAGUUUUUAAUUUUCUAAAGUUGCUCCUUAAAAUCUAAAUCUCCCUGAGAGGUGUAGAUGGCACUUUAAGUUAACAAACACCUAAAUCAUCUUUUACCUGCUCAGCAAAGAUUGUUCUUAUCCUGCUAAGACCAAGAAAGGGAACAAGAUGGAUACCUAAGAGAAGAGAAUGCAAACAGCAAAGGUAGAAAGAAAGAAAGGAUCCAAGACCUAGCGAGGUGGAACUCAAAAAAAGGCUGUAACGGUUUUGCCUGGGAACAGUCUCUCCAGCUCCGUUUCUGUGCUGGUGGGGUGUCACGUGGCAUCCAGCCUCUGCUCUCAGGCUUCCAGGAGCUGUUGGUCUGGCCCCACCUGUAUUACCUGUCAGUCUUGGAAUCUAGCUGAACUCAGACUAGCUUGAUGGUAAACAUGGUACUAGAAGAAAAACCAGUCUGAAGGUCAGACUUGAGUUUGUUGUGACUUUGAGCCAUUCAGACCUUCUACAGACUUCGAUUUCCACCUUUGUAUGAGGAGAGAGUAGAUUAUAUUUCUGUUCUGCUCUGGGUCUCUCCCUUGCCCUGCUAACUUCUCUCCCAACUCUUUUUACUCUAAGCUUCUACCACAGGUGGUAAAAAAUGUGGCAGCUCCCAAAGCACGGAAAACAACCCAAAUGCCCAUGGAUGAGUGGAUAAACAAAAGAUGGCCUAUACAUCCAAUGGAAUAGAAGGAAGGAAACUGCCACAUGCUGCCACAUGGAUGAAACUUGAAUACGUUACACUAAGCCAGUCACAAAAGGACAAAUACUGCCUGAUCCACUUAUAUGAGCACCACGUGCAGGAAUGACGCGCUGUUGCCCGUUCCAGGGGUCCCUUGCUGAAGUCUUCACAGAGGCUCAAUGCUUCCAGCGCAACACGUGCCAUCAACUGAAACGCAUUUUCUGUUCAUGUCUUUUACCCACAGAUUUAGCGCGUUUUCCAUCUUUUCUAAGGAUUCCAAAUAUACUUUAUUAAACUCGAUUGCUGAUUAGGCCCUAAGCAAUUAUAAAGAAAUGACACAAUUGAUAUUCAAUGAGAGGUUAUUUUUCUGGACAUAUUGACAUAUUAAGGUACUUUUCUUUAAAAAUCUGAAGUCUACAGUAAAAAUAAGUGCAUGUAGACAUUAUUCUCUGUUUUCUGCAAGAGCUCUUGGAGAACAGGAUGCCUUUUCCAUCUUAACUAAGUAUUUAUUUAUCAUGCACUGUGGCCAGAACUUUUGCAGUUUGAAGUGUGACAGCAAAACUAGCACACAUUUCUUUUUCCAUCUUUACAAUUUCAUAGAAGAUUCAUAGAUCUUACCAUAGAUCUUAGUGACUUUAGCACACAAUUUUUUUUUUUCUUUAUUAAAUUGAAAACUUUUACCUUUUCACUCUAAGGAAGCACUUUACAACUUCUCUUCGGCAUAUCUGAAUCGCCAGUAUUGCUACUCUUGCGCUGUGGGGCCAUUAUGAAGUAAAAUAAAGGUGAUGUGAACACAA
Molecule: long non-coding RNA, 1506 nt
Organism: Pteropus alecto (black flying fox)
Lineage: Eukaryota; Metazoa; Chordata; Mammalia; Chiroptera; Pteropodidae
Exons: 2
Source: RefSeq, a predicted model, not a curated record